GCACGAAAGGCGCAACGAUCUGGGCACUGUCUCAACGAGAGACUCGGUGAAAUUAUAGUACCUGUGAAGAUGCAGGUUACCCGCGACAGGACGGAAAGACCCCGUGGAGCUUUACUGCAGCCUGAUAUUGAAUGUUGGUACAGCUUGUACAGGAUAGGUAGGAGCCUUGGAAACCGGAGCGCCAGCUUCGGUGGAGGCAUCGGUGGGAUACUACCCUGGCUGUAUUGACCUUCUAACCCGCCGCCCUUAUCGGGCGGGGAGACAGUGUCAGGUGGGCAGUUUGACUGGGGCGGUCGCCUCCUAAAAGGUAACGGAGGCGCCCAAAGGUUCCCUCAGAAUGGUUGGAAAUCAUUCGCAGAGUGUAAAGGCACAAGGGAGCUUGACUGCGAGACCUACAAGUCGAGCAGGGACGAAAGUCGGGCUUAGUGAUCC
Molecule: ribosomal RNA, 432 nt
Filed under: Escherichia coli
Lineage: Bacteria; Pseudomonadati; Pseudomonadota; Gammaproteobacteria; Enterobacterales; Enterobacteriaceae
Description: partial 23S ribosomal RNA
Rfam family: Bacterial large subunit ribosomal RNA
Source: RNAcentral